Lactuca sativa (garden lettuce) is the source of this 2278-nucleotide long non-coding RNA. RefSeq lists it as uncharacterized. Lineage: Eukaryota; Viridiplantae; Streptophyta; Magnoliopsida; Asterales; Asteraceae. The record is from RefSeq and is a predicted model, not a curated record.
UCGUUGACGCAUAACACAUUACUACUUCGCAAACCCUAGCUGAAAUAUCCAUUAUUGGCGUCUCUUUAUGUUCUAACUCAUGCUUUCCUUCGCGAUUUCUUGGUGUAUAGUUUUGCUUAAUUUCUGAAUCUUGUUUUCUAGUCCAGUUGUUUUCGUGUUUCUUUGUGAUUUCUCUUUUAUUCGGUUAAAUUCAAUGAAUUUUAUUAAUUUAGCUACGGAUUUAUUGAAUCCUCUUUGAUUUGAUGAAUUGAUUUCAUCUUUACCUAGCGUAGUUUCGGAAUCGUAUUUGUAGCUCGGGAAUUUCUGUUGAUUCCUUUUGUUUAUGUUGUUAUUCAUGCUCCCGUUCAUAGAUCUGGCCAUAGUUGACUAAGCUUUUCAUAGAUCUGGUCUUAUAGUUGACUUUAUCUUCUAAUUAACUAGCAGUGAGGAUUCUAUUUGUAAUUUCUUCCUCUUUUUUUUUUUUCUCUCUCUCUCUCUUAAUUUAGAGAGGUUUUGAUGAACAAUUUUCGGCUCUCACUGAGAUUAGUUUAUCGUUUUGAUUUAGUCAAUUGUAAGUAAUGGCUGUAAUCCUUUUGUGUUUCUGAAAACGGAGAGAGUUUAUAUCGGUGUAUGAAUUUGGAGAAGAGGGAAAGGAUGAUCUGUAAGUAAUGUGUGGAAUGGGUGGUUUGGAAAGAAUGGAAUUAAGCUUCUCCUCUUUCCAAUUCCACCCAUGCCGCUUAUUACUUGUGGAUUCUUCCCUUUCCCUUGACAUUCACUUGGAUUUCUCUGUUUCAUCACAAGAAACGAUGCCCACUUGAUUUGGUUUAAGUUUCGCGAUCUUGAAGAAGAUUUGAGACAGGAUUUCCUCCUUUGAUUGUUAUUAAUAAGAAUAUGAUAUGAUGUUGAGUCAUCCAUUUUUGGGAUUUUGCAAAUCAAAUCAGGAAUCUGAGGAGGGAAGGGGAAGUGUUCAAGAAGAAAGGUUUGCAAUGUGAAUAAUCCACAUCUUGAUGAAUCUUUGUUCACAAUUGUUUUAAGAGGAUGCAAGACUAUUUUUAUUAGCAAACGGGUCACAACCCACUUUUUUAUUAUUAAUAAUACUUUCACUCUAAUUCAUAUACAUAACCAACCACUAUCUAAUUUUAAUCAUUUAUCAGUAACCUAACACACUCACACAUUUAUCAGAUCAGUAGGUAGAGUUAACCUAGAAACCAAACGAUUAUGAUAGUUAGGUUUAGAACUCACCCUUACAUAAAAAAGACCACUUGUUCUCUCACAUAGAAACAUAAACUUCAAUGUGAUUUUGAAAAAGAUCAACAUAAUUUUCUUUCUUAAGACCUCUACCUAAUCCCUUAUAAAUUUGAAGACAAAAACUUUAAAAAACUAUAAAGCAUGAAUAGUUUAAUUCAAAAAAUAGAAAAAAAAAACAAAAAUAUCCAGAAAAAUAUAUUGUUUUUGUUCCUUUUUUUUAUACACCAUUUUGACCGGUUAUUUUCCGGCCAAUAGCGAAGGACAUUAUGAAUGCCUUAAACUUGUUUUUUAUAUUUGCAAAAAUUUGAACAUCCUUAAAACAUCAGAUCUACCUCCAUUCCAGCAAAAUACUAGCAUAUGGCUACAUGGAAUAACAUACAAGAAAUCGGUGAGGUUCCAAAUUGAAAAUCUAGAAAUUAAAGCCCUAGAAAUCAAAAAUCAAAGCUGAAGAACAAUUUCUGAAACCCUAGGUUCGUGUAUCUAGAACGAUUUCUGAAAAUUGAAAACCCUAGGUUUGUGUAUCUUGUUCUUGGAUUGAAAAUCCGGAAAUCGGUGGGAACCGGUCUUGAUUCUCUUUUUGUGUACCUUCGAUUCUCAAAGAUGAUGAACAGCUUGAACUCAAAGCUGCCACGGAAGUUGUUUGAAGGGUUUCGCUGUCCAUCAUCUUCAACAUCUAAGAACCACAACAAUCGGACCACCCUUUUCAGCCUUCGCCAUCUUGGAACACCCUCGAUCUUAUACCACCUCACAACACAAAAACCCAUUUAAGCCCCAUCGCACCUCCACCUUUGCCUUCACCUAAGAACCACCACCUCGCCACCUUUAUAUCACCACCCUACCGAAAACAAACCCUCAUCACCUCUACCGAUUUUUAGAGAGAAAGGAAGAAGAUAGAAACUUGAGUUGCCUUUGUUUGUCUUAGAAUCCGGCCGAAUCAAAAGGAGAUGAAAACAUAUAGGGCGCAAGUUUAAUUUGGUAUUUUAAUAACUAUGGGGCUAAAGUUUAAUUUCAAGUGGACUUAAGUUUCAUCAUAUUUGUUCAUCAGAAAUCA